This 301-nucleotide ribosomal RNA is filed under the name uncultured bacterium. RNAcentral describes it as "partial 16S ribosomal RNA". It matches the Rfam family "Bacterial small subunit ribosomal RNA", at positions 509 to 807 of the family's 1533-position model. The record is from RNAcentral.
CAGCCGCCGCGGUAAAACGGAGGGUGCAAGCGUUAAUCGGAAUUACUGGGCGUAAAGCGCACGCAGGCGGUCUGUCAAGUCAGAUGUGAAAUCCCCGAGCUUAACUUGGGAACUGCAUUUGAAACUGGCAAGCUAGAGUCUUGUAGAGGGGGGUAGAAUUCCAGGUGUAGCGGUGAAAUGCGUAGAGAUCUGGAGGAAUACCGGUGGCGAAGGCGGCCCCCUGGACAAAGACUGACGCUCAGGUGCGAAAGCGUGGGGAGCAAACAGGAUUAGAUACCCCAGUAGUCCCUGUCUCUUAUAC